UACGUAGGGUGCAAGCGUUGUCCGGAAUUAUUGGGCGUAAAGAGCUCGUAGGCGGUCUGUCGCGUCGGAUGUGAAAACCCAGGGCUCAACCCUGGGCCUGCAUUCGAUACGGGCAGACUAGAGUUCGGUAGGGGAGACUGGAAUUCCUGGUGUAGCGGUGAAAUGCGCAGAUAUCAGGAGGAACACCGGUGGCGAAGGCGGCUCACUGGCUCAUUACUGACGCUCAGGCGCGAUAGCGUGGGGAUCAAACAGG
This 253-nucleotide ribosomal RNA is filed under the name uncultured bacterium. RNAcentral describes it as "partial 16S ribosomal RNA". It matches the Rfam family "Bacterial small subunit ribosomal RNA", at positions 524 to 776 of the family's 1533-position model. The record is from RNAcentral.